AAACCAGCACCUCAAGUGGUCAGGAUGAUUAUUGGGCCUAAAGCAUCCGUAGCCUGCUUUGUAAGUUUUCGGUUAAAUCUGUACGCUUAACGUACAGGCUGCCGGGAAUACUGCAAAGCUAGGGAGUGGGAGAGGUAGACGGUACUCGGGAGGAAGGGGUAAAAUCCUUUGAUCUCUCGAUGACCACCUGUGGCGAAGGCGGUCUACCAGAACACGUCCGACGGUGAGGGAUGAAAGCUGGGGGAGCAAACCGGAUUAGAAACCCCAGUAGUCC
Molecule: ribosomal RNA, 274 nt
Filed under: uncultured bacterium
Lineage: Bacteria
Description: partial 16S ribosomal RNA
Rfam family: Archaeal small subunit ribosomal RNA
Source: RNAcentral